RNAcentral lists this ribosomal RNA (497 nucleotides) under uncultured bacterium. RNAcentral's name for it is "partial 16S ribosomal RNA". It matches the Rfam family "Bacterial small subunit ribosomal RNA", at positions 28 to 507 of the family's 1533-position model. The record is from RNAcentral.
GAUGAACGCUGGCGGCGUGCCUAAUACAUGCAAGUCGAGCGAACAGACGAGGAGCUUGCUCCUCUGACGUUAGCGGCGGACGGGUGAGUAACACGUGGAUAACCUACCUAUAAGACUGGGAUAACUUCGGGAAACCGGAGCUAAUACCGGAUAAUAUAUUGAACCGCAUGGUUCAAUAGUGAAAGACGGUUUUGCUGUCACUUAUAGAUGGAUCCGCGCCGCAUUAGCUAGUUGGUAAGGUAACGGCUUACCAAGGCAACGAUGCGUAGCCGACCUGAGAGGGUGUUCGGCCACACUGGAACUGAGACACGGUCCAGACUCCUACGGGAGGCAGCAGUGGGGAAUCUUCCGCAAUGGGCGAAAGCCUGACGGAGCAACGCCGCGUGAGUGAUGAAGGUCUUCGGAUCGUAAAACUCUGUUAUUAGGGAAGAACAAAUGUGUAAGUAACUAUGCACGUCUUGACGGUACCUAAUCAGAAAGCCACGGCUAACUACGUG